UUAAUAUUUCAGGUAACACUCUCACCACACAACCUUUGGGUUGUGUCACUUUAGCACUAUAUGUAGCAGCACCAUCACCAACAUUGGUAACAGUCCUGUUAAAUGUGUGAACCAUUGAUCUUGUUUUUUUGUUGUAGAAAGCUAUAAAUGAAGGGUAAUUAAGAUCCAAAGAAGUGUUUUCACAACCAUGAGAACUUGAUCUUGUGAUUGUUAAAAUUUGCCUCUUUGUGAACUUCAAGCCACAAAGGAAAUUAACAUAGUCUUGUGGUGUACAAUCAUAAACUAAACCUGGAUUCAUUGCUCUAUUAGGAUCAAUCUCACCAACCAAUAAUGUUUUCACCAUUUCCCAAAACAAGGCUGCCAAAAGUUCUAUCUGUGGUUCCUGCAGCUACAGUAAGGACCCAAGGGAUACCAUUGUGCAAGGUUCCAUGCUUAGGUCCUGAGUUACCUGCAGAAGAUGAAACAACAAUCCCUUUCUCCAUAGCUGUAAAAGAAGCUAUUGCUAUAGCAUCUUCAUAAAGUGGAAUACCAUCAAUUCCAAUAGAAAUUGAAAUCACGUCAACACCAUCAAUAAUUGCUUGGUCCAUUCCAGCUAAAACAUCAGAAGCCAUAACAUCCUCUUCCCAAAUGACUUUGUACAUAGCAAUCUUAGCUUUUGGUGCAAUGCCUCUUGCUACUCCUUUAGCAUAGCCAAAAUAAGAAGCUCCGUUGACAUAGUUACCUGAAGUCCGAAGCAAACAACUCGAUAGUAAGCUGAGAGUACUAACCAAGAAACUAACAUAAUUUGUUACUAUUUGUCUAUGUAAAAAACAAUAAAAAUAACACAGUUACCUGCAACAGUUGAUGAUGUAUGAGUUCCAUGUCCGAUACUGUCUCUAGCUGAGUUCUUGCUGAUUCCAACAUUUCGAUAGUUACCUGCAAUCACACCUUUAUUGAAAGAUCUUGCUCCAAUCAGUUUGAAGUUGCACACGGAGGCAUUGAAUUUAUGGCCAGUUUCACAUGUUCCUUUCCAUUUGUUUGGAAUUUUCUUUGUCAUGCCAUCAUCUUUAAAGCUUUGACUCUCAGGCCACACACCAGAAUCUAUAACACCAACAAUGAUGUCAUCUCCAAAAUUUGAAGCAUGCCAUAGACCACUUGGAGAAUCUAGGGAGAGAAAUUCAAAGGUGUGAGUUGUGUCAAUGGUUGCUGUUCUAUCUUGAUAUGCUGAAACAAAGCCAUCAAUGUUCUUAAUAAUCUCUAACUCAUUUGAAGAUAACAUUGCACAAAAUCCAUACAUGGCAUUAUCAUAGGUGUACACUAGUUUCUUCUGUGAUUGCUUUGAUGCUUCUUGUUGAUCAUGAUCAUCAAGUACUAGUGUUUUUGAUUUUAAGGAAUGAAUGGUGGAUUUGAACCAAUCAUGAUGAUUUGUGAAGACUUGAGGAAAGAAGGAUUUGUUCAUAUGGAUUAUAUAUGUGGAAGUCUCAGCAUUGCUAUGAAAGGUUAAUAGAAGCCAAAGAGAAAUUAUGAGAAGAAGUGAAAACUCAAAGUUAGGCUCCAUUGAUUAUUUUUGCCAAUAAACAAAGAAAUGUUGUUUUGGCUCUUGAUUCCUCUUAUCAUGCGAUUCUAUAGGAUUUUUAGAGAAUAUAAAUGAUGUUAACAUUCAUGAAUUGUUUAGAAAUUUGAGGAUGAUAUUAAUUCUAAGUGAUUGAACAGAUUUAUUUUGCUUGAGAAUUAUUUCGUUCAAACUAAUCUUUGGUCCUUUAAGCUUUUUAUUUUUGCUCUACAACUUUGGUUAUUUUAGGAAACCAAGAUACAUUUAAUGUUGCUUUUUCCUUUAAUAUCCUUUCAAAAAACCAAAUCCAUGUAUUAAAUGAAUUUGACUUUUACUAAAUGAAUUAAAGGGUAGAAAUGCAUAAACUUAUCUAAAUUUAUUAUUUUUACUGUGUGUCCAAACUUAAUCUUCCUAGGCCGAUUUCAAGUCCGGUAAAAGGAGAGGGUUGUAUUAAGUCUCGACAGCUAACGUAAAACUUUGUCGAAUCUUCAUGAUAUGGAUUUGUAGUAUGUCCAAACCUAAAACACCAACGUUAAGAUGUAAUUUAUGUUUGUUUCAAAAUAUUUUAUUUUCGGAAUCACCCAUCUGAAUUAUCUAACAAAUAUUGCCUAAAAAAAUGGGACAAAGGCUAACUUUCAAAAUGUUAAUUUAUGGCCUUUCAGGAAAAGCAAAUGUCAAUUUGUGAAAGUAGUAAACAACUCAUAAUCCUCAGAUGAAUAGAAACAACACAUAAGUUAACUUUGAGAAGGUAAUAUGUACAAGUAAGAAAUAGAAAUUAAAUAUACUCACAAGUUGUAGAAAGAUGUUUUCGAAAAAGAAAUAAUAAAAAUCCGGAUCCUCCAUAUCCGGCUUUAUGGCGCACAUUCGAUCAAGAGAGGAAAAUAACUCUUCAUGACCGGUUGCAUCAUAAGCCAGGUCGAAGAGAAUCCAAUUUGAAAAAGAGACAAAUAAUUCACCCACAGAAAAGAAGCUCCCAUAUAAUAUGGCAAAGACUAUCGUGAAAUCCCAUUAUGAACCAGCAUCUCACGCUACAAAAUAAUUGACAUCUAGUAACACUUGAAAACUGUUACUAAAUCAAGAAAAAUGUUACUGAUUAUAUUUAGUAACAUUUGAACAAUUGUUAGGAAAAGCCCAUGUUACUAAAGAGCUUUAGUUACAUUUUAUAGUAUUAUUUUUAACAUUCAAAAAGUGUCUUUUUGAAUGAAAUCAGCCCAGUAACAUUUGAAUGAAAAGAGCUUUAGUUACUAAAGAGCCUUAAUCCCAUAUCUAGUUUACUUAACUGAUUAACUCAGAAAUCAAAGUUUAGGAAUGAAAUUUAUAAAUUUCUAAAUAAGCUUAUGAUGGUUCUCCAAUGAGGUUAUAACUAGUAGUUAAAGAACAAAAAACAUGAAGAUGUAGAAUUAGUUUGUGAAAAUAAAAAACCAAGAUAAUGACAACCAAACACAUCAUAAGGUUGCAUUUGAAUGAGUGUUUUUAAAGAGUGUAAGAAAAGUACACAAUAUUGCAUAUCAUGUCAUUGCAGAAGGUGCAGAAAAAUGAGGGGAAAAAACACUUGAAAGCUCAUAUAAUUCCCCUUGGUGCCACUACAAUAGGACUUCUAACAGUGUGUGCUCCACCAUAUUCAAUCCAAACAAGAUCCCCAAAUGAAACAUUAUCCUUCUUGUACAUGACACACUUUAUGACAAGGGAGUAACUUUGUUUCUCAUUUCUAUAUUUGAAAGUUAAUAUAUCAGGUAACACUGUCAUCACACAACCUUUUGGAUGUGUCACAUUAGCACUAUAUGUAGCAGCACCAUCACCAACAUUGGUAACAGUCCUGUUAAAUGUGUGAACCAUUGAUCUUGUUUUUUUGUUGUAGAAAGCUAUAAAUGAAGGGUAAUUAAGAUCCAAAGAAGGGUUUUCACAACCAUAAGAACUUGAUCUUGUGAUCGUUAAAAUUUGAUUCUUUGUGAACUUCAAACCACAAAGGAAAUUAACAUAGUCUUGUGGUGUAGCAUCAUAAAUCAAACCUGGAUUCAUUGCUCUAUUAGGAUCAAUCUCACCAGCACCGAUAGCGAGAGGUGAAGCAUAUUGAGAAGGAUAACCGUUAUCCCUUAUUAGAUUUUUUGUAUUAUCCAAAGGAUUAGCUGUGGUUAUCAAUGCAGAUCUUAUAGCAGCAGAACUCCAUUGUGGAUGUACAGCUUUGAGAAGAGCAGCAACACCAGAGGCAUGAGGACAAGCCAUGGAUGUUCCUGACAUGAAAUUGUAGUCACUUGAUAAGAACACAUCGGUACCAAUUCUAGCUGUUGGUUUAUAAGGAACAAAAGCAGCGAGAACUCUUGAUCCAGGUGCCAUUAUGUCAGGCUUCAAAAUCCAAGGAAAGCCAUGUGAUGGACCUCUUGAUGAGUAAUGAGCUGCAAUUGGUGCCGGUUUUAUUCCAAGAAAUGUUUGUUGAAACUUAAUGCUUGCUGUUGGAUUAUUCUUAUUGCGUUUUGCGUACUUGAUCACAGAUUCUGCAUCUUUUGUCUUGAUAACAAUACCUGGAGCGUAGAUAUGUCUUAAAUCAAUUAAUUCAGGACUAUCAGAGAGAAACACUGCCCCUAACAUAUUGGUUUGUGUAACAACAUCGAUUUGAUCAAACACUGAGCUUGAGUUUGAUAUUGAGUCACAAAUAAUUAUGACUUGCUUGUUAACUUGAGAUAAACGCUUCACUGAAUUGCAUGAAGAUAAAGUGUUAUCGUAAACAAGAGGAAGAUUUUCGACUAUAGUUGAAUUUGAUGCAAACAAAGUCCAACCAAUAAUGUUUUGACCAUUCCCCAAAACAAGGCUGCCAAAAGUUCUAUCUAUGGUUCCUGCAGCUACAGUAAGAACCCAAGGGAUACCAUUGUGCAAAGUUCCAUGCUUAGGUCCUGAGUUACCUGCAGAAGACGAAACAACAAUCCCUUUCUCCAUAGCUGCAAAAGAAGCUAUUGCUAUAGCAUCUUCAUAAAGUGGAACACCAUCAAAUCCCAUAGAAAUUGAAAUCACAUCAACACCAUCAGCAAUAGCUUGGUCCAUUCCAGCUAAAACAUCAGAAGCCAAAAGACCCUCUUCCCAAAUGACUUUGUACAUAGCAAGCCUAGCUCUUGGUGCAAUGCCUCUUGCUACUCCUUUAGCAUAACCAAAAUAAGAAGUUCCAUUGACAUAGUUACCUGAAGUCCGAAGCAGACAGCUCGAUUAGUAAGCUGAGAGUUACAGAAGGAGUACUAACAUUUCUCUAUAAAAAAAAUAAAAAAUAGUUACCUGCAACUGUUGAUGAUGUAUGAGUUCCAUGUCCGAUACUGUCUCUAGCUGAGUUCAUCCUGAUUCUAACAUUUGGAUUUGAAGCAAUCACACCUUUGUUGAAAGAUCUAGCUCCAAUCAGUUUGAAGUUGCACAUGGAGGCAUUGAAUUUAUGGCCAGUUUCACAUGUUCCUUUCCAUUUGUUCGGAAUUUUCUUUGUCAUGCCGUCAUCUUUAAAGCUUUGACUCUCAGGCCAUACACCAGAGUCAAUAACACCAAUAAUGAUAUCGUCUCCGAAAUUUGAAGCAUGCCAUAGACCACUUGGAGAAUCUAGGGAGAGAAAUUCAAAGGUGUGAGUUGUGUCCAUGGUUGCUGUUCUGUCUUGAUAUGCUGCAACAAAGCCAUCAGUGUUGUUAAGAGUCUCUAACUCAUUUGAAGAUAACAAUGCACUAAAUCCAUACAUGGCAUUAUCAUAGGUGUAUACUAGUUGCUUCUGUGAUUGCAUUGAUGCUUCUUCUUGUUGAUCAUGAUCAUCAAGCACUAAUGUUUUUGAUUUUAAGGAAUGAAUGGUAGAUUUGAACCAAUCAUGAUGAUUUGUGAAGACUUGAGGAAAGAAGGAUUUGUUCAUAUGGAUUAUAUAUGUGGAAGUCUCAGCAUUGCUAUGAAAGGUUAAUAGAAGCCAAAGAGAAAUUAUGAGAAGAA
Molecule: long non-coding RNA, 5473 nt
Filed under: Medicago truncatula (barrel medic)
Lineage: Eukaryota; Viridiplantae; Streptophyta; Magnoliopsida; Fabales; Fabaceae
Description: lncRNA gene41613
Source: RNAcentral